CUGAGCCUUGUGUGUUUCUCCCUCACCCACCACGGCAGGUGACACCGUUCAGCAGUGCCGUGCUGCCAGAAAUGCUCGCUGAGCCCGUGCGAGGGGGAAAUCUUACCACAACUGCUGAGAUUAUCCCAGAAAGACCCUUUGCAGACUGACUCCGCAUCCUCAGAGCUGAUCUGAUCGGGGCCUWCCAAAGACAUUAACGACGUCGAAAGUAGCUUAUUUUAAGAGAAAAUAUGCAGAAGAAGAACAUUUACAUCAAGAUUACCAUGAGUAUUGUCCAAAACACCUGAUACUACCAGAGGACCGGACUUGUAUCCUAAAAUUAUCUCUCCAGAAGCUGCGCUUCCUGGACGACCCCGAAGCCUAUCUCCGUAGGUCUGUAUUAAUUAACAAUCUGUUGAGGAAGAUUCACCUAGAGACAGAGAGGGAGAGCUAUGAAUACUUUAAGGAGGCUCCGUGCUAUAGGACUGCCUACUCUGACGCACGAAAACGGCUGAAGUUUAUGGUGCAGGAGUGCUGUUCCCAGUCGCUCUAUUAUGAAGAGCUGCACUCGUAUCGAAUCGUGCCUUACUCUGCAGAGAACGCCGUUUACGGGAUGGGCUACACGGGCAGCCACCUGGAGCAAAAUUCUCAGUUGCUUAUUUAUAAAAUGAAUUAAAGUAGCUGUUAGAGCCGCUGACGUUUGUUUCUGAAUGCUUGAACUGCUUGUGGAGGUGCUGAGGUGAGGCGCUGRUUGCAGGUGUGUUGGGAUGGCAGGCGGAUAUCGGGAGCUGAGCCCGAGGAAGGCGCUUUGGAGGAUGCUCCGCAGCCCCCGCUGUUAACCCCUGGUGUGCCGCACCUUGCUGCGCACACAGCGCGGGCCCGGGCCGAGCUCCUUUACCCGCACAGACUGCGCGAAAUGCGGUUUGCAGAAACAAAGCUGCACUUAAGCCACCCUGUGUGUAGAUACGGAUGCUCCGAAUCACCUUUUUUUUGCAGUUAAAUUACGCCGUCCCCAGUGCGAGGGGAGCCCCCCGAAGCGGUGGAGUAGUCUAACAGUGAGGAGUAAAACAACACAAGUUGUCUGCUGUGAAGGUGUAGACAGGAGGUUUCUCUGAGGAUUGCUUUGACCAUGAAGGAGUCAGUGCCAAAGGAWUAAGUCUUUAGAUUAGGAUUUUCAGAGACUGAACUCGCUUGCUACUUUCAGACACUCUACUGAGAUUUGCAAGGGUUUGUGGGUUGUUU
Malurus melanocephalus (red-backed fairy wren) is the source of this 1221-nucleotide long non-coding RNA. RefSeq lists it as uncharacterized. Lineage: Eukaryota; Metazoa; Chordata; Aves; Passeriformes; Maluridae. The record is from RefSeq and is a predicted model, not a curated record. The transcript is spliced from 3 exons.